CUACGGGAGGCAGCAGUGGGGAAUUUUCCGCAAUGGGCGAAAGCCUGACGGAGCAAUACCGCGUGAGGGAAGACGGCCUAUGGGUUGUAAACCUCUUUUUUCAGGGAGGAAUUUUGACGUGUACCUGAAGAAUAAGCAUCGGCUAACUCCGUGCCAGCAGCCGCGGUAAGACGGAGGAUGCAAGUGUUAUCCGGAAUCACUGGGCGUAAAGCGUCUGUAGGUGGUUGAACAAGUCAACUGUUAAAUCUUGAGGCUCAACUUCAAAAUCGCAGUCGAAACUGUUUGACUAGAGUAUAGUAGGGGUAAAGGGAAUUUCCAGUGGAGCGGUGAAAUGCGUAGAUAUCGGAAAGAACACCGAUGGCGAAGGCACUUUACUGGGCUAUUACUGACACUCAGAGACGAAAGCUAGGGUAGCAAAUGGGAUUAGAUACCCCAGUAGUCCUAGCCGCAAACUAUGGAUACUAGAUGUUGAACAGAUCGACCUGUGCAGUAUCAAAGCUAACGCGUUAAGUAUCCCGCCUGGGAAGUAUGCUCGCAAGAGUGAAACUCAAAG
This 553-nucleotide ribosomal RNA is filed under the name uncultured bacterium. RNAcentral describes it as "bacterial SSU rRNA". It matches the Rfam family "Bacterial small subunit ribosomal RNA", at positions 339 to 906 of the family's 1533-position model. The record is from RNAcentral.